Molecule: non-coding RNA, 100 nt
Organism: Desulfuromonadales bacterium C00003096
Lineage: Bacteria; Pseudomonadati; Thermodesulfobacteriota; Desulfuromonadia; Desulfuromonadales
Source: Rfam
GUCAUUAUGAGGUGUCGCCUGCAGGAAGCCGAGUGCAAAGCUGUGAGCCGACGAACAGAAACGUCAUAUACUAUACAUCGGCUUAGGAAGAAAUUUUGUC